RNAcentral lists this ribosomal RNA (463 nucleotides) under Vreelandella stevensii. RNAcentral describes it as "partial 16S ribosomal RNA". It matches the Rfam family "Bacterial small subunit ribosomal RNA", at positions 338 to 794 of the family's 1533-position model. The record is from RNAcentral. Lineage: Bacteria; Pseudomonadati; Pseudomonadota; Gammaproteobacteria; Oceanospirillales; Halomonadaceae.
CCUAGGGUGGCAGCAGUGGGGAAUAUUGGACAAUGGGCGAAAGCCUGAUCCAGCCAUGCCGCGUGUGUGAAGAAGGCCUUCGGGUUGUAAAGCACUUUCAGUGGGGAAGAAAGCCUUGGGGCUAAUACCCUCGAGGAAGGACAUCACCCACAGAAGAAGCACCGGCUAACUCCGUGCCAGCAGCCGCGGUAAUACGGAGGGUGCGAGCGUUAAUCGGAAUUACUGGGCGUAAAGCGCGCGUAGGCGGUCUGAUAAGCCGGUUGUGAAAGCCCCGGGCUCAACCUGGGAACGGCAUCCGGAACUGUCAGGCUAGAGUGCAGGAGAGGAAGGUAGAAUUCCCGGUGUAGCGGUGAAAUGCGUAGAGAUCGGGAGGAAUACCAGUGGCGAAGGCGGCCUUCUGGACUGACACUGACGCUGAGGUGCGAAAGCGUGGGUAGCAAACAGGAUUAGAUACCCCAGUAGU